RNAcentral lists this ribosomal RNA (449 nucleotides) under uncultured bacterium. RNAcentral's name for it is "bacterial SSU rRNA". It matches the Rfam family "Bacterial small subunit ribosomal RNA", at positions 328 to 793 of the family's 1533-position model. The record is from RNAcentral.
AAGCCAGACUCCUACGGGAGGCAGCAGUGGGGAAUAUUGCACAAUGGGGGAAACCCUGAUGCAGCGACGCCGCGUGAGUGAAGAAGUAUUUCGGUAUGUAAAGCUCUAUCAGCAGGGAAGAUAAUGACGGUACCUGACUAAGAAGCCCCGGCUAACUACGUGCCAGCAGCCGCGGUAAUACGUAGGGGGCAAGCGUUAUCCGGAUUUACUGGGUGUAAAGGGUGCGUAGGUGGCAUGGCAAGUCAGAAGUGAAAGCCCGGGGCUCAACCCCGCGGACUGCUUUUGAAACUGUCAGGCUGGAGUACAGGAGAGGUAAGCGGAAUUCCUAGUGUAGCGGUGAAAUGCGUAGAUAUUAGGAGGAACACCAGUGGCGAAGGCGGCUUACUGGACUGUAACUGACACUGAGGCACGAAAGCGUGGGGAGCAAACAGGAUUAGAUACCCCCGUAC